CACCUACGUGUUAAGUGCUGCUAAGAGACUAUCUUCUUGAACUUUGAUUGCAAAGACUUUACACAUAGAAAAACACUAAUGCCUUUGCAACCAAGUAGUAUUACAUCCAAUGAGAAAUACAAUGUAAAUUGUCUCUGUACGUUGUUGGAGAUCUGCUUUUAUAAAUUACUACAAGCCUAUGUCACUAUAGUAAAGACCUCUGCACUUCCACCAGUUCUUCAUGUGAUAUUCAGUGUUGUGUGCCUUUUACCUCCUUUUUGACGCCUCCGAGAUUUGUGCUGUGAUAUCAACCAGUGCUGAAAACAGCUGACAAAGAAUCAAAGAAAGAAUCAAAAGUUAUUCCAAGACUAAGUUACACUGUUAAGCCUGAAAAGGCCUUGGCUAUUCACCCAACACACUAAGAAGAUGGAGAAGAAAGUAUUCUCUUUUUGAAAAAGAAAAAUACAGAAGAAGACUAAUUAAAAGGUAAAUUCUUUUGAGUUUAUCUGUUCAAAUAUCCUAGCAGAAUGUUUUUGGUGGGUUUAUUUAGUCAUUUUUCUUCCUCUCAUCUUCUUACCCUCAAGACUUAUGUCAAUUUGAAGUGGAGGUGUGCUUUUUUUUUCUUAAAACAACAACAGCAACAACAAUAACAAAAGACUUAAAUUACUGACUUGAAUUGUGCAACUACUCUGACGGUACACCAGAGAACUAAUGUAACACUUGUGCAUAUGAGUACUUUUCAGGAAUCAUAAAUCAUAAUAAAACUCUCUGGAAGGUUAGGGUGGAGAAAAAA
Molecule: long non-coding RNA, 772 nt
Filed under: Anas platyrhynchos platyrhynchos (common mallard)
Lineage: Eukaryota; Metazoa; Chordata; Aves; Anseriformes; Anatidae
Description: lncRNA (ENSAPLG00000028843.1)
Source: RNAcentral